CGAAGGGUGCUAGCGUUGUUCGGAAUCACUGGGCGUAAAGCGCGCGUAGGCGGCUUUUCAAGUCAGGGGUGAAAUCCCACAGCUCAACUGUGGAACUGCCUUUGAAACUGUAAAGCUAGAGUGUCGGAGGGGAUAGCGGAAUUGCUAAUGUAGAGGUGAAAUUCGUAGAUAUUAGCAGGAACACCGGUGGCGAAGGCGGCUAUCUGGACGACAACUGACGCUGAGGCGCGAAAGCGUGGGGAUCAAACAGGAUUAGAUACCCUGGUAGUCCACGCUGUAAACGAUGGAUGCUAGCCGUUCGGGGGUUACCCCUGAGUGGCGCAGCUAACGCGUUAAGCAUCCCGCCUGGGGAGUACGGUCGCAAGAUUA
This 369-nucleotide ribosomal RNA is filed under the name uncultured organism. RNAcentral's name for it is "bacterial SSU rRNA". It matches the Rfam family "Bacterial small subunit ribosomal RNA", at positions 526 to 896 of the family's 1533-position model. The record is from RNAcentral.